AACGAACGCUGGCGGCGUGCCUAACACAUGCAAGUCGCACGAGAAAGUCCUUCGGGAUGAGUACAGUGGCGCACGGGUGAGUAAUACAUAGGAACGUGUCUUUAGGAGGGGAAUAACCACGGGGAACCGUGGCUAAUACCGCAUGAUCUGGAAACAGCAAAGGCGGCCUCUAUUUAUAAGCUGUCACCUAAAGAGCGGCCUAUGUCCCAUUAGCUAGUUGGUGGGGUAAUGUCCUACCAAGGCAACGAUGGGUAGCUGGUCUGCGAGGACGAUCAGCCACACUGGAACUGGAACACGGUCCAGACUCCUACGGGAGGCAGCAGUGGGGAAUAUUGCACAAUGGGCGAAAGCCUGAUGCAGCAACGCCGCGUGAGUGAAGAAGGCCUUCGGGUUGUAAAGCUCUUUCGACGGGGAAGAAGGGCAUCUAGGUAAAUAAUCUAGAUGUUUGACGGUACCUAGAGAAGAAGCACCGGCUAACUCCGUGCCAGCAGCCGCGGUAA
Molecule: ribosomal RNA, 500 nt
Filed under: uncultured bacterium
Lineage: Bacteria
Description: partial 16S ribosomal RNA
Rfam family: Bacterial small subunit ribosomal RNA
Source: RNAcentral